GCGGAGGGCCGGAUGGCCGCACCACCGCAAGGUGGCGAGGAAAGUCCGGACUCCACAAGGCGACGGUGCCGGGUAACGCCCGGCCGGGGCAACCCGAGGGAAAGCGCCACAGAAAACAGACCGCCCUGCCAUUCGUUUCGGCGAACCACGCGGGGUAAGGGUGAAACGGUGGGGUAAGAGCCCACCGCGGGACGGGCAACCGGACCGGCACGGCAAGCCCCACCGGGAGCAAUGCCGAAUAGGGACCGCAUUUUGGGCCGGCCUUGGCCCCGCGGUCCGGGUUGGCAGCACGAGCCUGUUGGUAACAGCAGGCCCAGAUGAAUGGUCAUCCCCGGGGCAACCCGGGACAGAAUCCGGCUUACAGGCCCUCCGCGCAU
This is a non-coding RNA of Roseovarius indicus, 377 nucleotides long. It matches the Rfam family "Bacterial RNase P class A". Rfam says of the family: Ribonuclease P (RNase P) is a ubiquitous endoribonuclease, found in archaea, bacteria and eukarya as well as chloroplasts and mitochondria. The record is from Rfam. NCBI's taxonomy places the organism in Bacteria, Pseudomonadati, Pseudomonadota, Alphaproteobacteria, Rhodobacterales, Roseobacteraceae.